Molecule: ribosomal RNA, 426 nt
Filed under: uncultured Actinomycetes bacterium
Lineage: Bacteria; Bacillati; Actinomycetota; Actinomycetes
Description: bacterial SSU rRNA
Rfam family: Bacterial small subunit ribosomal RNA
Source: RNAcentral
GCGGCCUAUCAGCUUGUUGGUGAGGUAAUGGCUCACCAAGGCGACGACGGGUAGCCGGCCUGAGAGGGCGACCGGCCACACUGGGACUGAGACACGGCCCAGACUCCUACGGGAGGCAGCAGUGGGGAAUAUUGGGCAAUGGACGAAAGUCUGACCCAGCGACGCCGCGUGCGGGAUGAAGGCCUUCGGGUUGUAAACCGCUUUCAGCAGGGAAUAAGCGAAAGUGACGGUACCUACAAAAGAAGCACCGGCUAACUAUGUGCCAGCAGCCGCGGUAAUACAUAGGGUGCAAGCGUUGUCCGGAAUUAUUGGGCGUAAAGAGCUCGUAGGUGGUUUGUUACGUCGGUUGUGAAAUUCAGGGGCUCAACCCCUGACUUGCAGCCGAUACGGGCAAGCUAGAGUUUGGUAGGGGAGACUGGAAUUCCU